GGAAGUGACUGUCUCUUUUUAAUUAAGUUGAAUUUUAUUUUUAAGUCAAAAAGCUUAAAUUUUAUAGAAAGACGAGAAGACCCUAUAGAGUUUAAUAUACUUAAGUUUUUAUGGUUGAGGGUUGAAUUUUGUAAAAGCUUGAUUUUAUUUUGUUGGGGUGAUAUUAGAAUUUAAUUAACUUCUUUUUGUAAAGUCAUUGAUUUAUGAAUGAAUGAUCCUGAUUUUUGGAUUGAAAGAAUAAAUUACCUUAGGGAUAACAGCGUAAUUUUUUUGGAGAGUUCUUAUCGAUAAGAAAGAUUGCGACCUCGAUGUUGGAUUAAAGUUGAUUACCGGUGAAGAAGUUGGUAUAUUAA
RNAcentral lists this ribosomal RNA (353 nucleotides) under Sitaris muralis. RNAcentral describes it as "partial large subunit ribosomal RNA". The record is from RNAcentral. Lineage: Eukaryota; Metazoa; Arthropoda; Insecta; Coleoptera; Meloidae.